GGGGGGGGCAUUAGAGCAGGACUCUUCUCCCUUACAGGCCAUCUGGACUGGCCAGUGUUGAGAGGCGGAGACUUGGGCAAUUGCUGAACACUGCCCUGGGCAUUGCACUUGUCUCGGUCUGACAGUGCUGGCAAAACACAGCACAUCCUG
This is a microRNA precursor of Sarcophilus harrisii (Tasmanian devil), 150 nucleotides long. Ensembl annotates it as sha-mir-25. Its record names the gene sha-mir-25. Lineage: Eukaryota; Metazoa; Chordata; Mammalia; Dasyuromorphia; Dasyuridae. The record is from Ensembl.